AUUGAACGCUGGCGGCGUGCCUAACACAUGCAAGUCGAGCGGUAACAGGUGUAGCAAUACAUGCUGACGAGCGGCGGACGGGUGAGUAACGCUUGGGAAUCUGCCUAUUAGUGGGGGACAACCCGGGGAAACUCGGGCUAAUACCGCAUACGCUCUACGGAGGAAAGCCGGGGACCGCAAGGCCUGGCGCUAAUAGAUGAGCCCAAGUCGGAUUAGCUAGUUGGUAGGUAAUGGCCUACCAAGGCGACGAUCCGUAACUGGUCUGAGAGGACGACCAGUCACACCGGAACUGAGACACGGUCCGGACUCCUACGGGAGGCAGCAGUGGGGAAUAUUGGACAAUGGGCGAAAGCCUGAUCCAGCGACGCCGCGUGGGUGAGGAAGGCCUGCGGGUUGUAAAGCCCUUUCAGUGGGGAAGAAAAGCCUCGACCUAACACGUCGGGGUCUUGACGUAACCCAUAGAAGAAGCACCGGCUAACUCUGUGCCAGCAGCCGCGGUAAG
Molecule: ribosomal RNA, 502 nt
Filed under: uncultured bacterium
Lineage: Bacteria
Description: bacterial SSU rRNA
Rfam family: Bacterial small subunit ribosomal RNA
Source: RNAcentral